AACGAACGCUGGCGGCAGGCCUAACACAUGCAAGUCGAACGAUGUAGCAAUACAUAGUGGCGCACGGGUGCGUAACGCGUGGGAAUAUCCCUCUGAGUAAGGAAUAGCUACUGGAAACGGUAAUUAAUACCUUAUAAUGUCUUCGGACCAAAGAUUUAUCGCUCAAGGAUUAGCCGCGUCUGAUUAGCUAGUUGGUGAGGUAACGGCUCACCAAGGCGAUGAUCAGUAGCUGGUCUGAGAGGAUGAUCAGCCACACUGGGACUGAGACACGGCCCAGACUCCUACGGGAGGCAGCAGUGAGGAAUAUUGGACAAUGGAGGCAACUCUGAUCCAGCCAUGCCGCGUGAGUGACGAAGGCCUUCGGGUUGUAAAGCUCUUUUAGUCGUGACGAUGAUGACGGUAGCGACAGAAAAAGCCCCGGCUAAAUUCGUGCCAGCAGCCGCGGUAAUACGAAUGGGGCAAGCGUUGUUCGGAAUCACUGGGCUUAUAGCGUACGCAGGCGGCCAUGCAAGUCAGGAGUGAAAUCCCCGGCGUACCAGGCAGUUGCUUUUGAAACUAUGUGGCUAGAAUCCCGGGAGAGGUUGGCGGAAUUCCGAGUGUAGCAGUGAAACUGCGCAGAUAUUCGGAGGAACACCAGUGGCGAAGGCGGCCAACUGGACCGGCAUUGACGCUCAUGUACGAAAGCGUGGGUAGCAAACAGGAUUAGAUACCCU
RNAcentral lists this ribosomal RNA (713 nucleotides) under uncultured bacterium. Its description in RNAcentral is "bacterial SSU rRNA". It matches the Rfam family "Bacterial small subunit ribosomal RNA", at positions 28 to 788 of the family's 1533-position model. The record is from RNAcentral.